CUUUUUUGUCUUACUCAUUUCCUGUUUACUGUAAAAGGUCUUCUCUGUCUCUUCAGAGGGAAUUCACAAUUCAACACAAUCUGUCAACUUUCAUUUAGACAUCCCCUGUUCAAACUGUACAAUGGAGUAUAUACUGUAACUGAGACUAUAACAUGGCAAGAGGUGUUGAUAUAAAGAGUAUUUCAUAUAUUUAUAGAGCAAAACUGCAAGUGUAAACUAGGCAGAGACUAAGGGAUGAGUAAUAAGUGAACCACCGACAAGGGAUGUUCCUGUUAAGGCCUGCAGAGAAUCAGCUAGUCAUGCCAGGCUGCUGUCUACCCUAUUUUGAACUGCAAGGUCACAUGAAAAUACAGAUGACAACUGCUCUGGAUGUUUUCCUAAAAUUCUGCUCCCGGGCUCCCAUGGUGUCUCCAGCACUGAUGCACCUCAUUACAGCCAUGCAGCCCUGGCAUUAGAGGGUGAAAUCUCUUCACAUGCUGGGAGUGAUGAGAUCAGUACCGACGAUGAAGAUGAGCCAGGAUAUCUAAUGCUGCAAAAUGCCUUUGAGAGCAUCUGCCCUCUCAUCAGCACACACAACUGCUCUCCAUCUGUGCCAUUCUCCAUCCUCUGGGGCUGCAUCACCCCUUCACCAAUUAGGCCAUUAUGCUGCUGAGGACAAUUUGUGCCUCUUCCAGGCUGGAGAAGGGCAAGCAGUUACCGCUCGUGUGUGAUGGCCGAUGUCUCGAUGAAGGGACACUGCGACACACACCCCCAGAGCCAGACACCCGCUUCUGCAGCCUCACCCAGCCUGCCCAGUGCUCGAGGUGAGAGCAGGAGGGAGCAGGAGGUUAUGGCCAUGAAUUGGGCACUGAGGGCACAGAUGGUGUGUGCAAGCUAAUGGGGCGCCCUUGCAAACACGUUCGGGAUCUUCGUGUUCUUCAGGGAGCAUUUGUUAGGCAGACACACUGAUGUAGUUUUGCACAGUUCAUCCAAGAAAGUGAAGUUGCACAGUACCCUGCAAAAGCAAAGUCUGUAUGAAGAUGGGAAUAUGACUAGAGUUUGUAUUAACUUUGGAUUAAAGUGUUUUAUUAUUACUUUUGUGUAAGGAGGUUAAUUUUCUCUCUGUUACUUGGGGGACAAACAGAAGCCUGUGUUCCCUACUGAAAUCAGUCCUUUUUCAGCCUAGCAAAACCUGUAUUAAUAAAGACAAAAUGUAAAUAUUUAUAAAACAUGCACAGUCACAUCACUCAGUGUUACUAAAAUCAUUAAUAGUGUCUAGUUCUCGUUUGUAUUGUCAUAGUCACAGGAAGCUGCAGUGAUGACAGUAGGAAAAUACACAUCCACAGCAAGCUUUAGAUACAUUUUGGAAGGAUUUUCUUCACUACUUUACUUAGGAGGGGAGUUCUAAUAGUGCAUUUUAAUUUAUUUUCCACAUAUGUAUGUUGCAUACAUUUCUUAUCUGAAAGGAACUGUGAAACUCUCCCACUGCUUCUUGCCUGAAACUGCUCUCUGGAUUGCAGUUCUGAUUGUCUCCUCUUGAAAUUAUCAUUAAAAUGGUACACUGGCAAAAAAA
Long non-coding RNA from Haemorhous mexicanus (house finch), 1552 nucleotides. RefSeq lists it as uncharacterized. The record is from RefSeq and is a predicted model, not a curated record. The transcript has 2 exons. Lineage: Eukaryota; Metazoa; Chordata; Aves; Passeriformes; Fringillidae.